This 481-nucleotide ribosomal RNA is filed under the name uncultured bacterium. RNAcentral's name for it is "partial 16S ribosomal RNA". It matches the Rfam family "Bacterial small subunit ribosomal RNA", at positions 28 to 507 of the family's 1533-position model. The record is from RNAcentral.
GAUGAACGCUAGCGGCAGGCCUAAUACAUGCAAGUCGGACGGGAUUCAGGAGCUUGCUUCUGAUGAGAGUGGCGCACGGGUGCGUAACACGUAUGUAACCUACCUUUAUCAGGGGGAUAGCCUCUCGGAAGAGAGAUUAAGCCCGCAUAAAAUCACAGCACAGCAUUGUGUAAUGAUCAAAUAUUUAUAGGAUAAAGAUGGGCAUGCGGAACAUUAGCUAGAUGGCGGGGUAACGGCCCACCAUGGCGACGAUGUUUAGGGGAUCUGAGAGGAUGGCCCCCCACACUGGUACUGAGACACGGACCAGACUUCUACGGGAGGCAGCAGUAAGGAAUAUUGGUCAAUGGGCGGAAGCCUGAACCAGCCAUGCCGCGUGCAGGAAGACGGCCCUACGGGUUGUAAACUGCUUUUAUACGGGAAUAACCCAGAUACGUGUAUCCAGCUGAAUGUACUGUAAGAAUAAGGAUCGGCUAACUCCGUG